AUGUCCAAAAUAAGGGAUAAGGCACACCAGCCCAACCCCCAAGCCCCCAACUCCAUAUGUCCAAAAAGAAGCCACAAGGUCCACACCAGCCCCAAAUCCUAUGUCCAAAAUGAGGCACACCAGCCCCAAGAGCCCCCAACUCCAUAUGUCCAAAAUGAGGCACACCAGCCCCAAGAGCCCCCAACUCCAUAUGUCCAAAAUGAAGCCACACCAGCCCAAGUUCCAUCAAUCGUCCUAGUAAUCCAGAUCAUCAUCAAAGCCAAUGGAGCCUCUCUCUUCACCUCCACCUUCACCUUCACCUUGAUUUCCCUCUUGAUCAUCUUCACUUGUUGA
RNAcentral lists this ribosomal RNA (333 nucleotides) under Triticum aestivum (bread wheat). RNAcentral's name for it is "partial small subunit ribosomal RNA". Lineage: Eukaryota; Viridiplantae; Streptophyta; Magnoliopsida; Poales; Poaceae. The record is from RNAcentral.